GACGAACGCUGGCGGCGUGCUUAACACAUGCAAGUCGAGCGGUAAGGCCCUUCCGGGGGUACACGAGCGGCGAACGGGUGAGUAACACGUGGGUGACCUGCCCUCAGCUCUGGGAUAAGCCUGGGAAACCGGGUCUAAUACUGGAUAUGACUCCAUGACGCAUGUUGUGGGGUGGAAAGCCUUGUGCGGCUGAGGAUGGGCCCGCGGCCUAUCAGCUUGUUGGUGGGGUGAGGCCUACCAAGGCGACGACGGGUAGCCGGCCUGAGAGGGCGACCGGCCACACUGGGACUGAGACACGGCCCAGACUCCUACGGGAGGCAGCAGUGGGGAAUCUUGCGCAAUGGGCGAAAGCCUGACGCAGCGACGCCGCGUGAGGGAUGACGGCCUCGGUUGUAA
This 396-nucleotide ribosomal RNA is filed under the name uncultured bacterium. Its description in RNAcentral is "bacterial SSU rRNA". It matches the Rfam family "Bacterial small subunit ribosomal RNA", at positions 28 to 428 of the family's 1533-position model. The record is from RNAcentral.